AAGCCGAUGCCACAAAAGGGCACUAUUGAGAGAAUCCAAUAUCCACAAAAAGCAAAAACUUUGGAUUAGACAAGUCUGACAGGAAAACAAAAACAUACAAGUAAAAUUUAAAAAUUUAUCAAAAUACAGUGAAUAUCAGCAUAUGGUGAAUUUGGUGGAUCAAAGUUUGAUAUAGGAUAGAUCAAAAGUUGGACUUUUCAAAUAUGUAAUAGGAAGUCAACCUUUACUAUUUAUUAAUGUAAUAUGUGGGAAGUGGUGAUAGGCACCAUUUUGAUGGUGACAAUUUUUUUUUUUUUUUUAACUAAAAGAAAAGAAAGAAAAAAGCUAAGCAAAAGAACCAAAUUCUCAAAGAAGUGCCACCCCAUUGUACAUGAAUAGACCGCUACUCUAAGUUGCAAUCUUGGUGACGAAUUGGGCACAAAAGAUCGCCAUAUUUAAUGACAAUCUAUUACCAAGGUUGCCAUUCUAAAUGGUGAUCUUACAUGGCAUAAUCCUUUCUCACAAGUCGACAUUUUGAAUUUCGAUCUAUCCUAAUUCCUCCCAGCAUCCACCCCAAACCUAAACAAAAAAUAACAAUUAAAAAGGAAAUGAAGAAGCUAGCAUAUAAGCUCCACACUUGAAAAAAAAAAAAA
This 632-nucleotide unclassified non-coding RNA is filed under the name Hevea brasiliensis (rubber tree). Lineage: Eukaryota; Viridiplantae; Streptophyta; Magnoliopsida; Malpighiales; Euphorbiaceae. The record is from RNAcentral.